Small nucleolar RNA from Aotus nancymaae (Ma's night monkey), 137 nucleotides. NCBI's taxonomy places the organism in Eukaryota, Metazoa, Chordata, Mammalia, Primates, Aotidae. The record is from Ensembl.
CUACCAAAAGUUAAUUUCUUUGCGGGGAAGGCUUCCUAAAUAACCUUUACCAAUUUGGGCUACUUGGGAGAGUAAGGAAAGACCAUACUCCACAGUGGGCUAUACCAAUAGUUCACUACUAUUUUGUGGACUACAUU